GUAACUUUUGCUAUUUAAGAGCCCUGGCUUUUUUCAGUGGAGGACAAAUGUGUACUGCUAUAUCUCUUAUCAUGUUUUUUUUUUCUGCAGAGGGAAAUGUUGCAUGAAGAGAGGCCAUAUGCAACGACAUGUCAAUCUGCUACCUAUUUUUAAAUAUUCACAUAACCCCCACUUAUUGGAAAGAAAGAUGUCUAUUCUGAGAAAGUGACAGUUGAAUCAGUAACCUCUGCCUCUCACAAUUACAAGAAGCUGAUGAUCAGCUGGCGGAUGGGACUGUGCAGUUGGAAGUCCAGUGAUUUGUGAUUCCCCCAAGAAGUGUACAGACCAAAUGGCUCCACGUACAGGAAAAGUCUUGUAAAAAGAAAAACCUGGACCUGAAGCUGCAAGGCUGUAUGGUUUUGGGAGGAAAAGUCCCUGAGGUUUUGGAGAUGCUUCAAGCUUCCAUCUUCAGUGUGGAAACUGGUUGCUUGCCUCUGCAAAGCCCAGGCAGCAGCAGAAUCUUGAUCUAGGACACAACAUAAAUGCUUGAAUGCUAUCCUGUCGUGGAAUGAUGACAAACUUCAUGCAUACACUCCCAUGAACAUGAAGAUACUACAAGCAUGUAAGAGAACACUGGGGCUCUAAGGCCAUAAUCCUGGAAACUCCUACAUAGAGGUCCUGUAUACAGGAUUACUUUGUUUCCCUGUACCCUGUGUAUGUUGUGACACAAAGCUCAGUUGGGUGGUCCUAUGAUGGUGUGUGCUGUGGUAUCUCUGACUUGGGAACCUUGGGGCCUGUAGGAACUCCUGGAGCUGAAUGAGCUCCACUGGCAUGUUCUCUGCUCCUGGGUUGGACAGCAUCUGAUUUGCCUGUCGCAUCACCUGCAAGUCCUUCAUGUCUUAGUCUCCUGUCCAUCUUGGAAGAUGCAAUGAGAACGUGCAGCCUCCAGACACUGAGGAGAACCACACCAGAGCUGGAAAUUAAAAUGUCCACAGUGAAAACCAUCCACCUAUGCAAUUAGCUUUUUUUAAGAAAACUUGACUG
Molecule: long non-coding RNA, 1023 nt
Filed under: Cairina moschata (Muscovy duck)
Lineage: Eukaryota; Metazoa; Chordata; Aves; Anseriformes; Anatidae
Description: domestica (muscovy Duck (domestic type)) lncRNA (ENSCMMG00000002140.1)
Source: RNAcentral